Molecule: long non-coding RNA, 1076 nt
Filed under: Mytilus galloprovincialis (Mediterranean mussel)
Lineage: Eukaryota; Metazoa; Mollusca; Bivalvia; Mytilida; Mytilidae
Source: RNAcentral
UAUUUAAUAUCUAUCUAUAAACUACAUAAUAUUAUCAUAAUUGAAAUAAAAGGGAUAUUUCAAAUUGGGUAAAUGUUUUAUAAUUUCUGUCAGAAAACAAGCUGAACUUUGAAGUAAUUAUUAAAUGAAAAUGCACAAUUCCUUGAAUAUGUGGAGAGAAAAAAAUUGACGAUUUAUUAACUAAUCUUAGUACAAUAAUUUUACAAAUGUUUUAUUUAUUCUUUAAAAUGAUUGAAAAAUAUACUCUUCAACAUCUUUACUGUAGGAAUAUUAUUAUAAAUGUUCAAAAUCAUAACCUCUUCUCCAGAUUUAGCAAUGUGCUGUGUCUUGGGAUAGGAGUAACAUGGUAUUGACCAUUUAUAUCAUUAAUUUUUUUAAAUGAAUCAUAAGUUUAACAAAAGUAAUCAUGCAACUUUAAGUUUCGUACAAAUAUUCUUUUAUAAAAAAAGAAUAUUAUUUUCGUAGGUGCCUUCUUUCUAUAGAAAUUAGAAAGUAUGUUUAAAGUUCUAUUCCUAUAUCAAUUUUUGUAUCAUAUUUGAAGUCUGCAAGGGAAUAGGCCAGUAAUAUGUAUAUCAAUAGAAUAAGAUGGGUAUGAUAAGAAAAAUUAUGAAUUCAUACAUGUAGCAAUUGGGAUAGAAAUUGAACAUCAUAUUGAUUAGAUUACUGAUAAUUAUAACAUAUACAAAACAAAAUAACAAUAUUAACAUCUAAUGUUAAAAUGUUUAUGUUAUUUGAGGGAAAAAAUAAAUAUAUUUUCAUAAUUUGAUUUGUAUUAUUAGUUUGCCAUACACUUCGAAAGCCAAAUGAAAUGGGUAAAAAGGGUAAAUGUUUUCAAAUUGAUUGAUUAAUUGGUGUUUAAUGCCACCUCAGUGCAAUUAGCUAUUUUAUGGCAGUCAGUUUUUAUUGGUGGAGGAAACCAAAGAACUCUUAGAGAAAUAUGACCUACAACAGGAAAUAAGAUUCCUAGUUGUAUAAGAUUGGAGUCGAGCACAUGUGCCAUGUGUAGGGUCGAAGUCCCUACCUUUUUGUUUACAGAAUAUUGAUACAGUAGUUGGACUACUUAAACCACUCAGCCA